UACGUAGGGGGCUAGCGUUGUCCGGAAUCAUUGGGCGUAAAGCGCGUGUAGGCGGUCCGGUAAGUCCGCUGUGAAAGUCGGGGGCUCAACCCUCGGAUGCCGGUCGAUACUGCCGGACUAGAGUCCGGAAGAGGCAAGUGGAAUUCCCGGUGUAGCGGUGAAAUGCGCAGAUAUCGGGAGGAACACCAAUGGCGAAGGCAGCUUGCUGGGACGGUACUGACGCUGAGACGCGAAAGCGUGGGGAGCAAACAGG
This 253-nucleotide ribosomal RNA is filed under the name uncultured bacterium. RNAcentral describes it as "partial 16S ribosomal RNA". It matches the Rfam family "Bacterial small subunit ribosomal RNA", at positions 524 to 776 of the family's 1533-position model. The record is from RNAcentral.